Molecule: long non-coding RNA, 562 nt
Organism: Magnolia sinica
Lineage: Eukaryota; Viridiplantae; Streptophyta; Magnoliopsida; Magnoliales; Magnoliaceae
Exons: 5
Source: RefSeq, a predicted model, not a curated record
AUCACUUAAUAUUCUUUCUGCCAAUGUUGUUGUCAGUAUAAACAUGCUUAUAGUCAAGCUUUUGUUUUCCCUUUUCUAGAUGUCUCUUGGACAAAUCGUAAGAAACUAAAUGGAAGUCGAAAGGAUAAGAUGUCUCAUGAGAUGUCUGUGGGAACUGAUCCUUAGGAGAAAGCUUCCGUCAGAAAGGGUCUGUCAUGGUCAUUCUAGUGUUUCUGAGAAGUGCAGAGGUCCAGAUCCAUCAUGUGCCCAAAACCCUUUUAAGGUCCUUCGGUUAUUGAAUGAACAUAGUGGAUAAGAGCAGAUUUUGCAGUUGUAUGAUGAAUGGGGCUGUAAUAUUGUGGUGCCGGAGUUGAUAAGGCAUUUGGACGAUCUUUGCUCUUAUUAUACUUACAACUGGCGAUCUGUUGUAUUCUGAAAUUUGUUUAUUUAGAAAUGUGAAUGUAGGAUGCAUUGUAUGAUUUGAUUGCUAUUUGUAAUAUGAAUGCAUCGUUUUCUUUCCUGAUUGCAUUUUAUGUACUAUUCCUAGCAGCAUUAAUUGUAUUAGCUUAGAUGAGUUGAUCAA